Molecule: ribosomal RNA, 325 nt
Filed under: uncultured eukaryote
Lineage: Eukaryota
Description: partial 18S ribosomal RNA
Rfam family: Eukaryotic small subunit ribosomal RNA
Source: RNAcentral
CCCUUAGAUGUUCUGGGCCGCACGCGCGCUACACUGAUGCAUUCAACGAGCCUAUCCUUGACCGACAGGUCCGGGUAAUCUUUGAAUCUGCAUCGUGACGGGGAUAGAUUAUUGCAAUUAUUAAUCUUCAACGAGGAAUGCCUAGUAGGCGCAAGUCAUCAGCUUGCGUCGAUUACGUCCCUGCCCUUUGUACACACCGCCCGUCGCUCCUAUCGAUUGGGUGUGCUGGUGAAAUGUUCGGAUCGGCCGUUUGUCGCGGUUUCCGCGGCUCGUGGCUGAGAAGUUCAUUAAACCCUCCCACCUAGAGGAAGGAGAAGUCGUAACA